GAGUAAUGUAUAGGAAUCUACCUAGUAGUACGGAAUAAUUGUUGGAAACGGCAACUAAUACCGUAUACGCCCUACGGGGAAAGAUUUAUCGCUAUUAGAUGAGCCUAUAUUAGAUUAGCUAGUUGGUAAGGUAAUGGCUUACCAAGGCAAUGAUCUAUAGCUGAUCUGAGAGGAUGAUCAGCCACACUGGAACUGAGAUACGGUCCAGACUCCUACGGGAGGCAGCAGUGGGGAAUAUUGGACAAUGGGCGAAAGCCUGAUCCAGCCAUGCCGCAUGAGUGAAGAAGGCCUUUGGGUUGUAAAGCUCUUUCGGUGAGGAAGAUAAUGACGGUACUCACAGAAGAAGUCCUGGCUAACUCCGUGCCAGCAGCCGCGGUAAUACGGAGAGGGCUAGCGUUAUUCGGAAUUAUUGGGCGUAAAGAGCGCGUAGGCUGGUUAGUAAGUUAAAAGUGAAAUCCCAAAGCUCAACUUUGGAAUUGCUUUUAAAACUGCUAACCUAGAGAUUGAAAGAGGAUAGAGGAAUUCCUAGUGUAGAGGUGAAAUUCGUAAAUAUUANGAGGAACACCAGUGGCNA
This 574-nucleotide ribosomal RNA is filed under the name uncultured Wolbachia sp. RNAcentral's name for it is "bacterial SSU rRNA". It matches the Rfam family "Bacterial small subunit ribosomal RNA", at positions 108 to 718 of the family's 1533-position model. Lineage: Bacteria; Pseudomonadati; Pseudomonadota; Alphaproteobacteria; Rickettsiales; Anaplasmataceae. The record is from RNAcentral.